Molecule: ribosomal RNA, 524 nt
Filed under: uncultured bacterium
Lineage: Bacteria
Description: partial 16S ribosomal RNA
Rfam family: Bacterial small subunit ribosomal RNA
Source: RNAcentral
GACGAACGCUGGCGGCGUGCUUAACACAUGCAAGUCGAACGAGACGAUUGAAAGCUUGCUUUCGAAAGUCGAGUGGCAAACGGGUGAGUAACGCGUAGACAACCUGCCGUUGAGAUGGGGACAACAGUUCGGAAGGACUGCUAAUACCGAAUGUUGUAUAUUUUCCACAUGGAAGAUAUAUUAAAGAUGGCCUCUAUUUAUAAUCUAUCGCUCAAAUAUGGGUUUGGGUCUGAUUAGCUGGUUGGUGGGGUAACGGCCUACCAAGGCGACGAUCAGUAGCCGGUCUGAGAGGAUGAACGGCCACAUUGGGACUGAGACACGGCCCAGACUCCUACGGGAGGCAGCAGUGGGGAAUCUUCCACAAUGGACGAAAGUCUGAUGGAGCAACGCCGCGUGAGUGAAGAAGGGUUUCGGCUCGUAAAGCUCUGUUGUCGGGGACGAAUGUGCAGUAUUUGAAUAAAGUACUGUAAUGACGGUACCUGACGAGGAAGCCACGGCUAACUACGUGCCAGCCGCCGCUGUAA